ACACUGCUGACGAGUCCCAAAUAGGACGAAACAGUUGUCCAGUU
This 44-nucleotide non-coding RNA is filed under the name Echinostoma caproni. Lineage: Eukaryota; Metazoa; Platyhelminthes; Trematoda; Plagiorchiida; Echinostomatidae. The record is from RNAcentral.